AGUGUAAGAUUCAUAUUUUGGGUAGUUUUAAGGACUACGCGUAGCAAGUAAAAUGGAAAAAUUUUCCAGAAGUUUUAAUGGCUUAAAACUUAGCAUGAGGGGAGGUCCACGAGUUUUCUGGUGCAGCAACUGGGUAAGAUGAUGUUGGCUUCUAGAGUUAGGGUUGGGAUAAAUAUGGAUUGUAGGGUUUUAAUAAAUGACAUGAUGAGAGAGUGUUAGUCAAGGAUGAAAGGUAAGUGAAUAGAACCCGAAGAACAGUUUUUUUUCAUUCUUUGUGCAUUUAAAUACGUAAGUGAUGAUCCAUCUUCCUGCGUUCUCAAAAUAGGAUUUGUAAAGGGUGUCGGAGUGGGAACCCAGCUUCGAUGGGCUUGAAUUUGCAUCCACCGGGACAUUUGUGGUGUGCUUUCAACCGGGUAGCACAUCAUAAAAAAGGUGCGAUAUGCUUUUUGUGACUUUGCUCACAAGAUAAAAUGAUAGACCCGAAUACUAGUUCCGAGAAUGUACCUUUAAGUAUGUACCUUAUGUCAAACAUGCAAGUUUUUCUAGAUUUUCAUCAUGGACUUCAAGCAUUCCAUGCUUUUAGAUGUCUUGCUGAAUCUGAAACUUGUUAUGAAGUGUACAAACCACCAAUGAAUGAAUAAGGUAUGGAGGAGCUUCACAAAGUGACGAACACAGUUUCCUUUCACUGUAUAAUUUGUUGGCAGCAGUCCUUCGUGGUUUACCCUUGCUCCAAACGCUUAAUAUGCUUGGAAGAACAUUCAAUGGUGGGGCAGUAGAUUUCCUUGAAAACAAGAUUUGGUAGUUAUAUCUCGUAUCAUUAUCUAGAACUAGGCCGUCUAAGGAUCAUGUUACAUGUACAUGUCGAUUAGUAUCUUGACUUCUUUUCUUGGUUUCAUGUGGAUAAUCAGAAAAUAUUCUUUUGUUUUAGGUAGCGUUAUAGAGCUCAGAUUGUUUCUCAUUCCAUUAAAAGAUUGCUUCAUUGGAUGUGGAGGCUUGUCUUCAAAUUUCUUCACGGUUUUCGGUUGGCUGCCUCUAGCAGUACACUAUCCAUUUUUCGUGUUCUUAAAUUGGCUGCCUCCAGCAGAUUGGUUGAUUCUUGGAUUUUCAUGGAAUAUAUUGUAAAAUGAAAAGAGAGAACCAGUUUAAAUUUAUAAAGAUGUUGCUUCUCCACA
Prunus dulcis (almond) is the source of this 1172-nucleotide long non-coding RNA. RefSeq lists it as uncharacterized. Lineage: Eukaryota; Viridiplantae; Streptophyta; Magnoliopsida; Rosales; Rosaceae. The record is from RefSeq and is a predicted model, not a curated record. The transcript is spliced from 2 exons.